UACGUAGGGUGCAAGCGUUGUCCGGAGUUAUUGGGCGUAAAGAGCUCGUAGGCGGUCUGUCGCGUCGGCUGUGAAAACCCGGGGCUCAACCCCGGGCCUGCAGUCGAUACGGGCAGACUAGAGUGCGGUAGGGGAGACUGGAAUUCCUGGUGUAGCGGUGGAAUGCGCAGAUAUCAGGAGGAACACCGGUAGCGAAGGCGGGUCUCUGGGCAGUAACUGACGCUGAGGAGCGAAAGCGUGGGGAGCGAACAGG
RNAcentral lists this ribosomal RNA (253 nucleotides) under uncultured bacterium. RNAcentral's name for it is "partial 16S ribosomal RNA". It matches the Rfam family "Bacterial small subunit ribosomal RNA", at positions 524 to 776 of the family's 1533-position model. The record is from RNAcentral.